Molecule: ribosomal RNA, 371 nt
Filed under: uncultured bacterium
Lineage: Bacteria
Description: bacterial SSU rRNA
Rfam family: Bacterial small subunit ribosomal RNA
Source: RNAcentral
GAAGGGUGCAAGCGUUACUCGGAAUUACUGGGCGUAAAGCGUGCGUAGGUGGUUUGUUAAGUCUGAUGUGAAAGCCCUGGGCUCAACCUGGGAACUGCAUUGGAUACUGGCUUACUAGAGUGCGGUAGAGGGGUGUGGAAUUCCCGGUGUAGCAGUGAAAUGCGUAGAUAUCGGGAGGAACAUCUGUGGCGAAGGCGACACCCUGGACCAGCACUGACACUGAGGCACGAAAGCGUGGGGAGCAAACAGGAUUAGAUACCCUGGUAGUCCACGCCCUAAACGAUGCGAACUGGAUGUUGGGAGCAACUUGGCUCUCAGUAUCGAAGCUAACGCGUUAAGUUCGCCGCCUGGGAAGUACGGUCGCAAGACUG